This is a non-coding RNA of Ictidomys tridecemlineatus (thirteen-lined ground squirrel), 73 nucleotides long. Lineage: Eukaryota; Metazoa; Chordata; Mammalia; Rodentia; Sciuridae. The record is from Rfam.
UGGGAUAUAGCUCAGUUGGUAGAGUGCUUGCCUCUUUUGCACAAGGACCUGGGUUCAAUCCUCAGCAACCCAC